This 231-nucleotide unclassified non-coding RNA is filed under the name plant metagenome. RNAcentral describes it as "partial contains small subunit ribosomal RNA, internal transcribed spacer 1, and 5.8S ribosomal RNA". The record is from RNAcentral.
UUUCCGUAGGUGAACCUGCGGAAGGAUCAUUAAAGAGAUCAUGCCCUCACGGGUAGACCUCCCACCCUUUGUUUACAAUACCUUUGUUGCUUUGGCGGGCCCGUUUGGCCCCGCGCUGAACAACCGGCCCCGGCUGGUCAGUGCCCGCCAGAGAACCGAAAACUCUGAAUUAAAUGUCGUCUGAGUACUAUGUAAUAGUUAAAAUUUUCAACAACGGAUCUCUUGGUUCUG